UACCUUUUGUCUUUUCACGGUUCC
This 24-nucleotide non-coding RNA is filed under the name Arabidopsis thaliana (thale cress). The record is from RNAcentral. Lineage: Eukaryota; Viridiplantae; Streptophyta; Magnoliopsida; Brassicales; Brassicaceae.